This 495-nucleotide ribosomal RNA is filed under the name uncultured bacterium. RNAcentral's name for it is "partial 16S ribosomal RNA". It matches the Rfam family "Bacterial small subunit ribosomal RNA", at positions 28 to 507 of the family's 1533-position model. The record is from RNAcentral.
GAUGAACGCUGGCGGCGUGCCUAAUACAUGCAAGUAGAACGCUGAAGGAGGAGCUUGCUCUUCUGGAUGAGUUGCGAACGGGUGAGUAACGCGUAGGUAACCUGCCUGGUAGCGGGGGACAACUAUUGGAAACGAUAGCUAAUACCGCAUGACAACAGUUAUUGCAUGAUAACUGUUUAAAAGGGGCAACUGCUCCACUACCAGAUGGACCUGCGUUGUAUUAGCUAGUUGGUGAGGUAACGGCUCACCAAGGCGACGAUACAUAGCCGACCUGAGAGGGUGAUCGGCCACACUGGGACUGAGACACGGCCCAGACUCCUACGGGAGGCAGCAGUAGGGAAUCUUCGGCAAUAGACGGAAGUCUGACCGAGCAACGCCGCGUGAGUGAAGAAGGUUUUCGGAUCGUAAAGCUCUGUUGUAAGAGAAGAACGAGUGUGAGAGUGGAAAGUUCACACUGUGACGGUAUCUUACCAGAAAGGGACGGCUAACUACGUG